CCUCGGCCUCCUAAAGUGCUGGGAUUACAGGCGUGAGCCACGGCGCCCCGCCUGCUUUUCUCCUUUCUGGCUACAUUGUGAAUGUGAGAGCUGGAGCGUGAAUACGCACCUUAGACUAUGAGUGGAAACCAUGUGCUAAGGAUGAUAGAGCCAAAGAUAAGAGCCCGGUUUCCUGGCAUCGUGGGACGGCGCGUCACCUCUAGAGAGACUACUACCUCCCUAGAGAGAUUUUUAACGAUGCUGUGACUACAACCCUCUGUUUAGUUAGUGGAAUUGAGAACAAGGCCCAGGUGGAUGAUUGAGGACUAAACCCCAAACUUGCCUUGGAUCACUCCACUGUUUCAGAGAUGAAGUCUCACUUUGUCACCUGGAAUGGAGUGCAGUGACAUGAUCUCGGGUCAUUGCAGCCUUGACCUCCCAGGCUCAAGCAAUCCUUCCACCUCAGCCUCCUGAGUAGCUGGAACUACAAGCACAUGCCACCACAACUGGCUAUUUUUGUAUUUUUUUGUAGAGAUAGGGUUUUGUCUUGUUGCAUAGGCUGGUCUCGAAUUCCUGAGCUGAGGCAAUCCUCCCAUCUUGUUCUCCCAAAGUGCUGGGAUUACAGGCGCAAGCCAUCACGCCAGGACUGUAUUUUGUAUUUCUUUGAUAACAAGGCCAUUAUUUUAUUGUAGGCUCAUUAAUCAUUUGAGUUCCUUUAUUUCAGAUAAUUUUCUUUUUUUAUUUUUAUUUUUUUGAGACAGAGUCUCCCUCUGUCCCCAAGGCUGGAGUGCAGUGGCAUGAUAUCGGCUCACUGCAAGCUCUGCCUCCCGGGUUCACGCCAUUCUCCUGCCUCAGCCUCCCGAACAGCUGGAACUACAGGCGCCCACCACCAUGCCCAGCUAAUUUUUUGUAUAUUUCGUAGAGCCAAGGUUUCACCAUGUUAGCCAGGAUGGUCUCGAUCUCCUGACCUCAUGAUCUGCCUGCCUUGGCCUCCCAGAGUGCUGGGAUUACAGGCGUGAGCCACCGUGCCUGGCUUCUUUUUGUUUUUUUGAAACAGGGUCUCACUCUGUCACCCAGACUGGAGUGCAGUGGUGCAAUCAUAGCUUGGUGUAAUCUUGACCCCCUGGGCUCAAGGAAUCCUCUUGCCUUGGCCUCCUGAGUAUCUGGGACUACAGGCAUGAGCCACCAUGCUAUGCAAAUUUAAAAAAAAAAAUUUGUAGAGAUGGGGGUCUCGCUUUUUAUUGCCCAGGCUGGUUUUUUUUUUUUUUUUCUUUUAGAUUCAGGGGGUGCAUAUGCGGGUUUGUUACAUGGAUAUGUUGUGUGAUGCUAGGGUUUGGGCUUCUGUUGAGCCCAUCACCUGAAUAGUGAGCAUAGUAUCCCAUAGGUAGUUUUUCAACCCUUGCCUCCCUCCCUUGCCCAUUUUGGAGAUGCCAGUGUCUGUUGUUCCCCAUCUUUAUGUCCAUGUGUACCCAAUGUUUAUCUCCCACUUAUAAGAACAUGCGGUAUUUGGUUUUCUGUUUCUGUUUUGCUGCAAAAGACAUGAUUUCAUUCUUUCUGAUGGUUGCAGGAGUCAGAUUUUGAAUCCAGGUCUGAAUCAAAGCUUAUGCCUUUUGACCGGGCACAGUGGCUCAUGCCUGUAAUCCCAACACUUUGGGAGGCUGAGGCAGGCUGAUCACUUGAGACCAGAAGUUCGAGACCAACCUAGGCAACAUGGUGAAACCCUGUCUCUACUAAAAAUACAAAAAUUAGCCAGGCAUGGUGGCACAUACCUGUAAUUCCAGGUGCUUGAGAGGCUGACACACUAGGAUUGCUUGAACCUGGGAGGCAGAGGUUGCAGUGAGCCCAGAUUGUGCCACUGCACUCCAGGCUGGGUGACAGAGCAAGACUCUGUCUCAAAAAAAAAAAUUAAAAAGCUUAUGCCUUUUGCCGUCAUGCACUUCCCUGUCUUUUCCAACUUCACCUCCUGCACGUCUUCCCCCUGCCUUCAGGUAUGCUAUACUCUUCCUCCUGCCAUGGUUUCUGCCCUAACCUCAGCCUGGAACUUUCUUCCUUUCCCGACCUGACUUGGACAAUUCUGAUCAUUUAUCAACAGAUAGCCAGAGUUGUCACCUAGGGCAGCCCCAACUCCAAAUCCUAAAUUCAACGACAUCAGCCUCUGACCACAGCCUCUGUGCCCUCCACUGCCUGCCUCUCACCCAGGCUCUGCAGGGUUAAGACUGAAUGUGCUUGUGUGCUAUGAUUUGCCUAGAGCCUAGGGUAUAGAAGACCGGCUCUUGUUUGCUGAGUCGAAUUAAGUUGAAGCCCACUACACUUCCUUCUCUAUCUCAUUGAGAUAUCUAGGACCUCAACCCUUCUUUUCUUCCCUCAGUUAUUCAUUGGAAAGUUAUUUGCCAAAUACCCUUGCCACAUAGUCCCCAUCGCAGUCAGGGUUCUCCAGAGAGACAGAACCAACAGGCUUCAUAUAUGAGAGAGGAUUUAUUAGGGAAAUUGGUUCAUGUGAUUAUGGAGACUGAGAAGUCCCCACAACCAGCAAUCUAUAAGCUGGAAACCCUGAGAUGCUGGUAGCAUGGCUUAGUCCAAGUCUGAAGGCCUCCAAGCCAGGGAAGCUGAUGGGGUGUAACUCUCAGUCCAAGGCCAAAGGCUGGAGACCCUGAGGGACUGCUGGUGUUAAGUAUUCAGGCCAGGGAGCCUGAAGUUGUUGUCCAAGGACAGGAGAUGAAGAGUGUGUCCCAGCUCCAGCAGAUAGAUGGACAUAUUGGUCUUUUCUCUGUUUCUAUUCUCUCUGGGCCCCCAUCAGAUUGGAUGGUGACCACGCUGAGGGCAGAUCUUCCCUACCUCGUUUACAAAGACUCAGAUGCUAUCACCUCUGGAAACACCCUCACAGACACACCAAAAAUAAUGCUUUACCAGGUUUCUAGGCAUUCUUUAAUCCAGUCAAGUUGACAUCAAAAAUUAACCAUCACACGAGGCAGGCAGAUCACUUGAGGCCAGGAGUUUGAGACCAGCCUGGCCAACAUGGUGAAAUCUCGUCUCUACUAAAAAUAAAGAAAAUUAGUCAGGUGUGGUGGCAUGUGCUCCACUUAUAAUCCCAGCUACUCAGGAGGCUGAGGCACGAGAAUCACUUGAACCCCAGAGGUGGAUGUUGCAGUGAGUCAAGAUCGUGCCACGGCACUCCAGCCUGGGCGACAGAGGGAGACUCUGUCUCCAAAUACAAAUAAACAGACCAGGUGUGGUGGCUCAUGCCUGUAAUCCCAGCACUUUGGAGGGCCAAGGCAGGCAGACCACCUGAAGUCAGGAAUUCAAGACCAGCCUGGCCAAUAUGGUGAAACCCCGUCCAAAAAAAAAAAAAAAAAGGAAGAAAGAAAGAAAGAAAACAAAAAAUAAAAAAAUAAAUACCAUAAAAUAGAUUUAACCAUCACAGUCCCCACUCUCAGGAAGCGAGUCAGUGAUAG
RNAcentral lists this long non-coding RNA (3431 nucleotides) under Homo sapiens (human). RNAcentral's name for it is "HSALNT0160383". Lineage: Eukaryota; Metazoa; Chordata; Mammalia; Primates; Hominidae. The record is from RNAcentral.